CACAAUACUGAGAUUUACUUUCUUGUGCAGUUUGUAAUCUUCGCCCUCAGUGGGAAAGGAUGAGAUCGUUGAGUGUCUUAUUAGUGAUCCUGUGGCAUCGCUUGAGCUGGGUAAACAGCCAACAGAAGGAGGUGGAGCAGCAUCCUGAGUCCCUCAGUGUUCCAGAGGGAGCCACUGCCUCUCUCAACUGCACUUAUAAGAAUAGUGCUUAUCAGUACUUCAUGUGGUACAGACAGUAUUCUGGGAAAGGCCCUAAGCUUCUGGCAUCUACAUAUUCCAACGGUGAUAAAGAUGAAGGAAAAUUCACAGUGCACCUCAACAAAGCCAGCCUCUAUCUUUCCCUGCACAUCAGAAACUCCCAGCUCAGUGACCCAGCAACCUAUCUCUGUGCAAUGAGUACACAAUGCUCCCCCAACACCUGCAGCCUGCAUCCAAACCUACAGGGGCCCCAGUAA
Molecule: non-coding RNA, 455 nt
Organism: Dipodomys spectabilis (banner-tailed kangaroo rat)
Lineage: Eukaryota; Metazoa; Chordata; Mammalia; Rodentia; Heteromyidae
Source: the annotation of a RefSeq genome assembly